Molecule: ribosomal RNA, 386 nt
Filed under: uncultured bacterium
Lineage: Bacteria
Description: bacterial SSU rRNA
Rfam family: Bacterial small subunit ribosomal RNA
Source: RNAcentral
AGAGUUUGAUCAUGGCUCAGGACGAACGCUGGCGGCGUGCCUAAUACAUGCAAGUCGAGCGAACAGAAAAGGAGCUUGCUCCUUUGACGUUAGCGGCGGACGGGUGAGUAACACGUGGGCAACCUACCCUAUAGUUUGGGAUAACUCCGGGAAACCGGGGCUAAUACCGAAUAAUCUCUUUUGCUUCAUGGCAAAAGACUGAAAGACGGUUUCGGCUGUCGCUAUAGGAUGGGCCCGCGGCGCAUUAGCUAGUUGGUGAGGUAACGGCUCACCAAGGCGACGAUGCGUAGCCGACCUGAGAGGGUGAUCGGCCACACUGGGACUGAGACACGGCCCAGACUCCUACGGGAGGCAGCAGUAGGGAAUCUUCCACAAUGGGCGAAAGC